RNAcentral lists this ribosomal RNA (566 nucleotides) under Ogataea nitratoaversa. RNAcentral describes it as "eukaryotic LSU rRNA". It matches the Rfam family "Eukaryotic large subunit ribosomal RNA", at positions 62 to 648 of the family's 3401-position model. Lineage: Eukaryota; Fungi; Ascomycota; Pichiomycetes; Pichiales; Pichiaceae. The record is from RNAcentral.
AAACCAACAGGGAUUGCCUUAGUAGCGGCGAGUGAAGCGGCAAGAGCUCAAAUUUGAAAUCUGGUACCUUCGGUGCCCGAGUUGUAAUUUGAAGAAAGCUAUCUUGGAUUUGGCCUUUGUCUAUGUUCCUUGGAACAGGACGUCACAGAGGGUGAGAAUCCCGUGCGAUGAGGUGUCCAUUUCUAUGUAAGAUGUUUUCGAAGAGUCGAGUUGUUUGGGAAUGCAGCUCUAAGUGGGUGGUAAAUUCCAUCUAAAGCUAAAUAUUGGCGAGAGACCGAUAGCGAACAAGUACAGUGAUGGAAAGAUGAAAAGAACUUUGAAAAGAGAGUGAAAAAGUACGUGAAAUUGUUGAAAGGGAAGGGUAUUAGAUCAGACUUGGUAUUUAGUUAUCAUUGCUCCUUGUGGGUGGUGCUCUAGCUUUUUACUGGGCCAGCAUCAGUUUUGGUGGCAGGAUAAUGACAUUUGAACGUGGCUCCUCGGAGUGUUAUAGCUUUUGUUGAUACUGCCAACCGGGACUGAGGUCUGCGGCUUUUGCCUAGGAUGCUGGCGUAAUGAUCCAAUACCGC